This 440-nucleotide ribosomal RNA is filed under the name uncultured bacterium. RNAcentral's name for it is "partial 16S ribosomal RNA". It matches the Rfam family "Bacterial small subunit ribosomal RNA", at positions 338 to 795 of the family's 1533-position model. The record is from RNAcentral.
CCUACGGGUGGCAGCAGUGGGGAAUAUUGCACAAUGGGGGAAACCCUGAUGCAGCGACGCCGCGUGAAGGAAGAAGGAUUUCUGUAUGUAAACUUCUAUCAGCAGGGAAGAAAAUGACGGUACCUGACUAAGAAGCCCCGGCGAACUACGUGCCAGCAGCCGCGGUAAUACGUAGGGGGCAAGCGUUAUCCGGAUUUACUGGGUGUAAAGGGAGCGUAGGCGGUUUAGCAAGUCAGAAGUGAAAGCCCGGGGCUCAACGCCGGGACUGCUUUUGAAACUGUCGAACUAGAGUGCAGGAGAGGUAAGUGGAAUUCCUGGUGUAGCGGUGAAAUGCGUAGAUAUUAGGAGGAACACCAGUGGCGAAGGCGGCUUACGGGACUGUAAAUGACGCUGAGGCUCGAAAGCGUGGGGAGCAAACAGGAUUAGAUACCCCUGUAGUC